UGGUGGAGUGAUUUGUCUGGUUAAUUCCGUUAACGAACGAGACCUCGACCUGCUAGUUAGUUCAGCGAAGGCUUCGGCCUUCGUCCUGUGACUUCUUAGAGGGACUAUCGGUGUGUAGCCGAUGGAAGUUCGAGGCAAUAACA
RNAcentral lists this ribosomal RNA (143 nucleotides) under uncultured eukaryote. Its description in RNAcentral is "partial 18S ribosomal RNA". It matches the Rfam family "Eukaryotic small subunit ribosomal RNA", at positions 1299 to 1458 of the family's 1831-position model. The record is from RNAcentral.